Molecule: ribosomal RNA, 450 nt
Filed under: uncultured bacterium
Lineage: Bacteria
Description: bacterial SSU rRNA
Rfam family: Bacterial small subunit ribosomal RNA
Source: RNAcentral
UCCCAGACUCCUACGGGAGGCAGCAGUGGGGAAUAUUGCACAAUGGGGGAAACCCUGAUGCAGCGACGCCGCGUGAAGGAAGAAGUAUCUCGGUAUGUAAACUUCUAUCAGCAGGGAAGAAAACAGACGGUACCUGACUAAGAAGCCCCGGCUAACUACGUGCCAGCAGCCGCGGUAAUACGUAGGGGGCAAGCGUUAUCCGGAUUUACUGGGUGUAAAGGGAGCGUAGACGGCAGAGCAAGUCUGAAGUGAAAGCCCGCGGCCCAACUGCGGGACUGCUUUGGAAACUGCCCGGCUAGAGUGCUGGAGAGGUAAGCGGAAUUCCUAGUGUAGCGGUGAAAUGCGUAGAUAUUAGGAGGAACACCAGUGGCGAAGGCGGCUUACUGGACUGUAACUGACGUUGAGGCCCGAAAGCGUGGGGAGCAAACAGGAUUAGAUACCCCAGUAAUC